This 497-nucleotide ribosomal RNA is filed under the name uncultured bacterium. RNAcentral describes it as "partial 16S ribosomal RNA". It matches the Rfam family "Bacterial small subunit ribosomal RNA", at positions 28 to 507 of the family's 1533-position model. The record is from RNAcentral.
GAUGAACGCUGGCGGCGUGCCUAAUACAUGCAAGUCGAGCGAACAGAUGAUGAGCUUGCUCCUCUCACGUUUGCGGCAGACGUGUGAGUAACACGUGUAUCACCUCCCUAUCAUACUGAGAUCACUUCGGGAAACCGGAUCUAAUACCGUAUAAUAUAUUGAACCGCAUUGUUCAAUAGUAAGAUACGGUUUUUCUGUCUCUUAUCGCUGCAUCUGCGCCGUAUUAGCUAGUUGUUGGGGUAACGGCCUACCAAGGCAACGAUGCGUAGCCGAACGGAGAGGGUGAUAGGCCACACUGGAACGGAGACGGCGUCAAGACUACUACGGGAGGCAGCAGUAGGGAAUCGUCGGCAAUGGGCGAAAGCCUGACGGAGUGAGGGCGAGUGAGUGAUGACGGCGUCCGGAGCGGAAAGCUCUGUUAUGAGGGAUGAACAAAUGUGUAAGUAAAUAAGCACGUCGUGACGGUACCGAAUCAGAAAGCACCGGCUAACUACGUG